ACUAAGCGUACACGGUGGAUGCCCUGGCAGUCAGAGGCGAUGAAGGACGUGCUAAUCUGCGAAAAGCGUCGGUAAGGUGAUAUGAACCGUUAUAACCGGCGAUGUCCGAAUGGGGAAACCCAGUGUGAUUCGUCACACUAUCGUUAACUGAAUACAUAGGUUAACGAGGCGAACCGGGGGAACUGAAACAUCUAAGUACCCCGAGGAAAAGAAAUCAACCGAGAUUCCCCCAGUAGCGGCGAGCGAACGGGGAGCAGCCCAGAGUCUGAAUCAGCUUGUGUGUUAGUGGAACGGUCUGGAAAGUCCGACGGUACAGGGUGAUAGUCCCGUACACCAAAAUGCACAGGUUGUGAACUCGAAGAGUAGGGCGGGACACGUGGUAUCCUGUCUGAAUAUGGGGGGACCAUCCUCCAAGGCUAAAUACUCCUGACUGACCGAUAGUGAACCAGUACCGUGAGGGAAAGGCGAAAAGAACCCCGGCGAGGGGAGUGAAAAAGAACCUGAAACCGUGUACGUACAAGCAGUGGGAGCACCUUCGGGUGUGACUGCGUACCUUUUGUAUAAUGGGUCAGCGACUUAUAUUCUGUAGCAAGGUUAACCGUAUAGGGGAGCCGCAGGGAAACCGAGUCUUAACUGGGCGUUAAGUUGCAGGGUAUAGACCCGAAACCCGGUGAUCUAGCCAUGGGCAGGUUGAAGGUUGGGUAACACUAACUGGAGGACCGAACCGACUAAUGUUGAAAAAUUAGCGGAUGACUUGUGGCUGGGGGUGAAAGGCCAAUCAAACCGGGAGAUAGCUGGUUCUCCCCGAAAGCUAUUUAGGUAGCGCCUCGUGAACUCAUCUUCGGGGGUAGAGCACUGUUUCGGCUAGGGGGUCAUCCCGACUUACCAACCCGAUGCAAACUACGAAUACCGAAGAAUGUUAUCACGGGAGACACACGGCGGGUGCUAACGUCCGUCGUGAAGAGGGAAACAACCCAGACCGCCAGCUAAGGUCCCAAAGUCAUGGUUAAGUGGGAAACGAUGUGGGAAGGCACAGACAGCCAGGAUGUUGGCUUAGAAGCAGCCAUCAUUUAAAGAAAGCGUAAUAGCUCACUGGUCGAGUCGGCCUGCGCGGAAGAUGUAACGGGGCUAAACCAUGCACCGAAGCUGCGGCAGCGACACUAUGUGUUGUUGGGUAGGGGAGCGUUCUGUAAGCCUGCGAAGGUGACCUGUGAGGGUUGCUGGAGGUAUCAGAAGUGCGAAUGCUGACAUAAGUAACGAUAAAGCGGGUGAAAAGCCCGCUCGCCGGAAGACCAAGGGUUCCUGUCCAACGUUAAUCGGGGCAGGGUGAGUCGACCCCUAAGGCAAGGCCGAAAGGCGUAGUCGAUGGGAAACAGGUUAAUAUUCCUGUACUUGGUGUUACUGCGAAGGGGGGACGGAGAAGGCUAUGUUAGCCGGGCGACGGUUGUCCCGGUUUAAGCAUGUAGGCUGGUUAUCCAGGCAAAUCCGGAUAAUCAAGGCUGAGGUGUGAUGACGAGGCACUACGGUGCUGAAGUAACAAAUGCCCUGCUUCCAGGAAAAGCCUCUAAGCAUCAGGUAACAUUAAAUCGUACCCCAAACCGACACAGGUGGUCAGGUAGAGAAUACCAAGGCGCUUGAGAGAACUCGGGUGAAGGAACUAGGCAAAAUGGUGCCGUAACUUCGGGAGAAGGCACGCUGGUGUGUAGGUGAAGUCCCUGCGGAUGGAGCUGAGACCAGUCGAAGAUACCAGCUGGCUGCAACUGUUUAUUAAAAACACAGCACUGUGCAAACACGAAAGUGGACGUAUACGGUGUGACGCCUGCCCGGUGCCGGAAGGUUAAUUGAUGGGGUUAUCCGUAAGGAGAAGCUCUUGAUCGAAGCCCCGGUAAACGGCGGCCGUAACUAUAACGGUCCUAAGGUAGCGAAAUUCCUUGUCGGGUAAGUUCCGACCUGCACGAAUGGCGUAAUGAUGGCCAGGCUGUCUCCACCCGAGACUCAGUGAAAUUGAACUCGCUGUGAAGAUGCAGUGUACCCGCGGCAAGACGGAAAGACCCCGUGAACCUUUACUAUAGCUUGACACUGAACAUUGAGCCUUGAUGUGUAGGAUAGGUGGGAGGCUUUGAAGCGUGGACGCCAGUCUGCGUGGAGCCAACCUUGAAAUACCACCCUUUAAUGUUUGAUGUUCUAACGUUGGCCCCUGACCGGGGUUGCGGACAGUGUCUGGUGGGUAGUUUGACUGGGGCGGUCUCCUCCCAAAGCGUAACGGAGGAGCACGAAGGUUAGCUAAUCCUGGUCGGACAUCAGGAGGUUAGUGCAAUGGCAUAAGCUAGCUUGACUGCGAGCGUGACGGCGCGAGCAGGUGCGAAAGCAGGUCAUAGUGAUCCGGUGGUUCUGAAUGGAAGGGCCAUCGCUCAACGGAUAAAAGGUACUCCGGGGAUAACAGGCUGAUACCGCCCAAGAGUUCAUAUCGACGGCGGUGUUUGGCACCUCGAUGUCGGCUCAUCACAUCCUGGGGCUGAAGUAGGUCCCAAGGGUAUGGCUGUUCGCCAUUUAAAGUGGUACGCGAGCUGGGUUUAGAACGUCGUGAGACAGUUCGGUCCCUAUCUGCCGUGGGCGCUGGAGAAUUGAGGGGGGCUGCUCCUAGUACGAGAGGACCGGAGUGGACGCAUCACUGGUGUUCGGGUUGUCAUGCCAAUGGCACUGCCCGGUAGCUAAAUGCGGAAGAGAUAAGUGCUGAAAGCAUCUAAGCACGAAACUUGCCCCGAGAUGAGUUCUCCCUGAGACUUUAAGUCUCCUGAAGGAACGUUAAAGACGAUGACGUUGAUAGGCCGGGUGUGUAAGCGCAGCGAUGCGUUGAGCUAACCGGUACUAAUGAACCGUGAGGCUUAACC
RNAcentral lists this ribosomal RNA (2891 nucleotides) under Klebsiella pneumoniae. RNAcentral describes it as "bacterial LSU rRNA". It matches the Rfam family "Bacterial large subunit ribosomal RNA". Lineage: Bacteria; Pseudomonadati; Pseudomonadota; Gammaproteobacteria; Enterobacterales; Enterobacteriaceae. The record is from RNAcentral.